GGGUCUGGAAAAGACACGCUGGGGGCACAGGCACGUCUGCGCCCAUGCCGGGUGAUUUCAGUUCUUCUGUGACCCAGGCAAUGCAGAAGAGGAGACAGGGUCUUUGUGUGAGGUUCUAAGGAGAGCCUUAUUGAGCUUCUUCCUGGAAGGGAUCCAGGGAGAAAAGAGCCGCCCAGCAUGACAAGCUACAUGGAUUCAAAAGAGACCCCACCUGUCUUCACUGACUUCUGUCCUUGUGAACAAUGUCUCUAUUAACCAGGUGCAGACCCUCCUGCAUGGAGAAAUACAAGAGGCAAGACGACUCAGCCUUGUGGAUGGCUCUUUUCUUCCUUGUUGACUAUGGAGGAGCUCAGCUGGAGAGGUUGGCUCUGAGGG
Molecule: long non-coding RNA, 375 nt
Organism: Passer domesticus (house sparrow)
Lineage: Eukaryota; Metazoa; Chordata; Aves; Passeriformes; Passeridae
Exons: 3
Source: RefSeq, a predicted model, not a curated record